This 380-nucleotide ribosomal RNA is filed under the name Enterococcus durans. RNAcentral describes it as "partial 23S ribosomal RNA". It matches the Rfam family "Eukaryotic large subunit ribosomal RNA", at positions 8 to 385 of the family's 3401-position model. Lineage: Bacteria; Bacillati; Bacillota; Bacilli; Lactobacillales; Enterococcaceae. The record is from RNAcentral.
AAAUCAGGUAGGAGUACCCGCUGAACUUAAGCAUAUCAAUAAGCGGAGGAAAAGAAACCAACCGGGAUUGCCUUAGUAACGGCGAGUGAAGCGGCAAAAGCUCAAAUUUGAAAUCUGGUACCUUCGGUGCCCGAGUUGUAAUUUGGAGAGGGCAACUUUGGGGCCGUUCCUUGUCUAUGUUCCUUGGAACAGGACGUCAUAGAGGGUGAGAAUCCCGUGUGGCGAGGAGUGCGGUUCUUUGUAAAGUGCCUUCGAAGAGUCGAGUUGUUUGGGAAUGCAGCUCUAAGUGGGUGGUAAAUUCCAUCUAAAGCUAAAUAUUGGCGAGAGACCGAUAGCGAACAAGUACAGUGAUGGAAAGAUGAAAAGAACUUUGAAAAGAG